GGAAAUCACAGACAUCUUGCAGAAUCCCCUUUGGACCAAUUAUUGAUAAUUAUCUAUGCCAAUGGUAAGGGGUGCCUUUGCCCCUGCCUACUAGUAAUGGUGGGAAGGUGUGCCAUUGGGCAUGGCCUAACAACAUCCCAGACACAGACACCAAAUAAAUAUCCAAAAUUUUUCUCUUGGAUAUGUUCUAGAUAAUAAUACCUCUAUGUGUGUCAAAGUAUAAUGUUGAAAGCUAAUGGUGUGAUAUUUGAAUAAUACAUGGUAUUUAGAAGCUCCUCUAAUACAAGAAACCUGAAAAAGUUAGCGUACAAAAAGUGCAGCAACAAAAGUAAACCAACAUAUUACAAAGGAAAGCAAAGUAUAAAAUGUGAGCUAUCAGCUGAAACAGCCCCUGCUCCUAAAGAUGAUACAAACACAAUCACUUAUUUGAACAAAGGUGCUACAGCAGAGAAAAACUUAAAAGGACAAAGAAAAGAACAGAACUGAUUCACUAUGUUAAGAUACUUGUUGAAUAAGACUAAAGACAAACCUCAACUAAUACUUGAUCAUUUUGAUGAGGACAAUUCUGUGGCCAUAGUGAAGAGAAGCUCCAUCAUUAAUGACUCUGAGGUAGUUGUAGCAGAGGUCUACAAAGUGAAAUCAAGAUAAAAUUUUUAUUCUGCUAAGAUUAUUGAGAUUGGAGAUGAAGAAGUAGUACCCAAAGAUGAAGAGGGUUUUUAUGCUGCAGAAGAAGAUAAUGAUAACUCUAUAUCUAAUUAAUAUGUAAUUUUCUGAUGUACUGGUCAAAAGGAAUUAAUAGAAAAGCUCACAGAAAAGCUUAUAAGAACCCCUAGAAGAGACACAGUAAACAAAAAACUAGAUGAAGUUUUGAAAGAAUUCAAAAUUUCUGAAAUUGCACAAGAUCACUCUGUAAAAUCCAUGGCUAGCAAUUGAAAAUUGCAGCUUCUCCGCUUUGAUUAAUGAAGAUUGAUUCAAGACUCAAUUAUUUCAGUACUUAUAUGUUAUGGCACAUGGUUAUGUAGCCACAUAAAAUCAAUAACUGGCCACACCUAAUAGACUGCAAAUCUAAUUCAAAGCUUAUGAGGCAUUUAAUACUGCAGAAGAAGAUAAUGACAGCUCUGUGUCUAAUGUAUAUGUAAUUUCUGACAUACUGGUGAAAAGGAAUUGAUAGAAAAGCUGAAAGCAGAACUCAUAAGAACCCCUGAAAAAGACACUGUAAUCAAUAAUCUAGACGAGAUUUUGAAAGAAUUCACAUAGGUCCAUUUGUACUAUUAUCUUUAUUGAAUAAAAUUAAUAAGAUUUUACGUUGAUCAUAGAUUAU
This is an RNA transcript of Amphimedon queenslandica, 1321 nucleotides long. RefSeq lists it as uncharacterized. NCBI's taxonomy places the organism in Eukaryota, Metazoa, Porifera, Demospongiae, Haplosclerida, Niphatidae. The transcript has 9 exons. The record is from RefSeq and is a predicted model, not a curated record.